UGGAGAAGAGACAGAUGCAGCAACGCCGCGGGAGUGAUGAAGGCCUUCGGGUCGUAAAACUCUGGCCUCAAGGAAGAUAAUGACGGUACUUGAGGAGGAAGCCCCGGCUAACUACGUGCCAGCAGCCGCGGUAAGACGUAGGGGGCUAGCGUUAUCCGGAUUUACUGGGCGUAAAGGGGGCGUAGGCGGUCUUUCAAGUCAGGAGUGAAA
Molecule: ribosomal RNA, 210 nt
Filed under: Clostridioides difficile
Lineage: Bacteria; Bacillati; Bacillota; Clostridia; Peptostreptococcales; Peptostreptococcaceae
Description: partial 16S ribosomal RNA
Rfam family: Bacterial small subunit ribosomal RNA
Source: RNAcentral